UCUGCUGGUAGAUAUCGAUCCUAUCAGGAAGCUCGCCACUCUCAAUAUCUCUCUGCAAUUUGAAAAUUAUUAAAAAAAAUUAAAUAAUUAAAAUAUAUCAUAAUUAAAAAUUUAAAAAAUAUGUACCAUGUGCUCCAUGUGGCGAGCAAAUGAUCUCGAACCCUCACAAUGUGGCAUAAUCUGUCUCGCCCGAUUUGUCGCAUUCUAGGCACAUCAUCUCUGUAAAAUUAACAGUAAAAUUAGUAGAUAAUAAGUAUAAUUUAAAAAUAAAUGAUUAGAUCAUUAAAAUCUAAAAAAAAAAUUUAGAUGUGUAACCUGAUAUGCCGGAUACUCGUAAUGCCGGUAUAUGGUAGUCCAAUCAUCGAUGGUGAUGCUAUCGUAGGGCUGCAGCCACGCUGCCUCUUGCCCAUGAGCCUGCACCACUCGG
RNAcentral lists this long non-coding RNA (427 nucleotides) under Elaeis guineensis (African oil palm). RNAcentral's name for it is "long non-coding RNA (EGUI_LNC020031)". The record is from RNAcentral. Lineage: Eukaryota; Viridiplantae; Streptophyta; Magnoliopsida; Arecales; Arecaceae.